Molecule: unclassified non-coding RNA, 248 nt
Filed under: Hevea brasiliensis (rubber tree)
Lineage: Eukaryota; Viridiplantae; Streptophyta; Magnoliopsida; Malpighiales; Euphorbiaceae
Source: RNAcentral
GUCCGUGCAACUCACCUAUUGGCUUAGGAAAAAGGCUCCUCCCCAAUGCGGCUUCUUGCUCGAGCCGGCUAGUACGUGUGUACCUGCAGCUAUAGCUGGCUCGGUUUCCAUUUCCCAAGGUAACAGCAUGAAUCAUGCCAUCACCAUCAAACAAGUGGUGUCCACCAGUGGGCGCAUGCACAGGAUUAGCGCCGUUGCGCAAGUAAACGCCACGUAAGGUGUCUGGAAUCUGGCCAACAACCUUCAGG